GGCAGCGUGGCCUAGUGGAAAGAGCACAGGCCUGGGAGUCAGAGGACCUGGAUCCUAAUUCCAGCUUUGCCA
Molecule: transfer RNA, 72 nt
Filed under: Ornithorhynchus anatinus (platypus)
Lineage: Eukaryota; Metazoa; Chordata; Mammalia; Monotremata; Ornithorhynchidae
Rfam family: tRNA
About the family: Transfer RNA (tRNA) molecules are approximately 80 nucleotides in length. Their secondary structure includes four short double-helical elements and three loops (D, anti-codon, and T loops).
Source: Rfam by way of RNAcentral